This 173-nucleotide small RNA is filed under the name Castor canadensis (American beaver). RNAcentral describes it as "7SK RNA (ENSCCNG00000021884.1)". It matches the Rfam family "7SK RNA", at positions 116 to 288 of the family's 331-position model. Rfam says of the family: 7SK was discovered as an abundant small nuclear RNA in the mid-70s but a possible function has only recently been suggested. Two independent studies have found that 7SK RNA binds the CDK9/cyclin T complex (known as elongation factor P-TEFb). Lineage: Eukaryota; Metazoa; Chordata; Mammalia; Rodentia; Castoridae. The record is from RNAcentral.
CCCCUCCCGAAGCUGCGCGCUCGCUCGGUCGAAGAGGACGACCAUCCCCGAUAGAGGAGGACCGUUCUUCGGUCAAGGGUAUACGAGUAGCUGCGCUCCCCUGCUAGAACCUCCAAACAAGCUCUCAAAAUAUCUUACAGAAUAAAAAAAGGAAAAUGAAGGAAAUGUCAAGG